This 697-nucleotide long non-coding RNA is filed under the name Heterocephalus glaber (naked mole-rat). RNAcentral's name for it is "lncRNA (ENSHGLG00000032752.1)". Lineage: Eukaryota; Metazoa; Chordata; Mammalia; Rodentia; Bathyergidae. The record is from RNAcentral.
GUGGUAGCAUGAUAUAUUCUAUGGAAAGCUGCUUUAUUCUACAGCUCUCUUAUUUGCUCAAACAAACUUUGAAGGAGAGCAGACUGAAAAUUACUAAUGCAGAGAAUGUAGAAAGAAACAAAGAGAAAUAUCAGAGAUGAACUCGGUUAUCUUCAUGAAAGUACUUGAUACUAAAUGAAAUACUUUGAGGUACAGAAGCCAAGAGAUAAGGGAUUAAUCAAGAAAUCACUGAAGAGGAUGCCUGUCAUGGCUGGAUGGGAAACUACACAUGAAAAAAUCCUUCCCUUGUAACUUGGAAGUGUUUUGAAGCAGGCUUUCUUGACGCCUUCACCUUAGACAGUAACAAAAUACAAGUUGACAUUUAUGGUUAAUAAACGAUCCAGAUAGCAGCUAACAAAUUGUUUUGUGUCCCUGAAUUUGUCAGGUUCAAUAUGGUUAUGUGUAAUAGUGAAAAAAAAAAAACAGGUUUGAGAUGACAUAAUCUGUAGUCUACAAUAAUCAUCCUCUAAAUGUGAGAAAUUUGAAAGUCUGGCAUUACUUUUUUAUAAACAAGGCCUUAACAGUUUCCAAAAAACCUAUAAAAUCAUAAAGCAGAUAAUUCACUCUUAUCUCCUAGGGAGUUCAUCUUGUUUAGCAUCACUUAACCUACCUAUGAUAUCUCAGGACAGGACUCUGAGGAGUUUCCUUGCUUGUUUAA